AAUCAACGCUGGCGGCGUGUCUCAGACAUGCAAGUCGAACGAUUAAAGCUCUCUUCGGAGAGUGUAUAGAGUGGCGCACGGGUGAGUAACACGUAAGUAAUCUACCCUCGAGUGGGGAAUAACAACCGGAAACGGUUGCUAAUACCGCAUAAUGCAGCGGCACCGCAAGGUGACAGUUGUUAAAGAUUUAUCGCUUGAGGAGGAGCUUGCGGCAGAUUAGCUAGUUGGUAGGGUAACGGCUUACCAAGGCUACGAUCUGUAACCGGUCUAAGAGGACGGUCGGUCACACUGACACUGAAUAACGGGUCAGACUCCUACGGGAGGCAGCAGUCGGGAAUUUUGGGCAAUGGGCGAAAGCCUGACCCAGCAACGCCACGUGAAGGAUGAAGUAUUUCGGUAUGUAAACUUCGAAAGAAUAGGAAGAAUUAAUGACGGUACUAUUUAUAAGGUCCGGCUAACUACGUG
Molecule: ribosomal RNA, 465 nt
Filed under: uncultured bacterium
Lineage: Bacteria
Description: bacterial SSU rRNA
Rfam family: Bacterial small subunit ribosomal RNA
Source: RNAcentral